GUGCCCACUUCGACAGCACAUACACUAAAAUUGGAACUAUAUAGAGAUUAGCAUGGCCCCUGUGCAAGGAUGACACACAAAUUCACGGAGCAUUCCAUAUUUUU
This is a small nuclear RNA of Dipodomys ordii (Ord's kangaroo rat), 104 nucleotides long. The record is from Ensembl. NCBI's taxonomy places the organism in Eukaryota, Metazoa, Chordata, Mammalia, Rodentia, Heteromyidae.